GGGGCUGUAGCUCAGUGGUAGAGUGUCCACCUAGCAAGUGUGAGGCACUGAGUUCGAUCCUCAACACCA
Molecule: transfer RNA, 69 nt
Filed under: Ictidomys tridecemlineatus (thirteen-lined ground squirrel)
Lineage: Eukaryota; Metazoa; Chordata; Mammalia; Rodentia; Sciuridae
Description: Spermophilus tridecemlineatus (thirteen-lined ground squirrel) tRNA
Rfam family: tRNA
About the family: Transfer RNA (tRNA) molecules are approximately 80 nucleotides in length. Their secondary structure includes four short double-helical elements and three loops (D, anti-codon, and T loops). Further hydrogen bonds mediate the characteristic L-shaped molecular structure. tRNAs have two regions of fundamental functional importance: the anti-codon, which is responsible for specific mRNA codon recognition, and the 3' end, to which the tRNAs corresponding amino acid is attached (by aminoacyl-tRNA synthetases). tRNAs cope with the degeneracy of the genetic code in two manners: having more than one tRNA (with a specific anti-codon) for a particular amino acid; and 'wobble' base-pairing, i.e. permitting non-standard base-pairing at the 3rd anti-codon position.
Source: Rfam by way of RNAcentral